This 260-nucleotide ribosomal RNA is filed under the name Klebsiella pneumoniae subsp. pneumoniae KPNIH22. Its description in RNAcentral is "partial 16S ribosomal RNA". It matches the Rfam family "Bacterial small subunit ribosomal RNA", at positions 1 to 253 of the family's 1533-position model. Lineage: Bacteria; Pseudomonadati; Pseudomonadota; Gammaproteobacteria; Enterobacterales; Enterobacteriaceae. The record is from RNAcentral.
ACUUAAAUUGAAGAGUUUGAUCAUGGCUCAGAUUGAACGCUGGCGGCAGGCCUAACACAUGCAAGUCGAGCGGUAGCACAGAGAGCUUGCUCUCGGGUGACGAGCGGCGGACGGGUGAGUAAUGUCUGGGAAACUGCCUGAUGGAGGGGGAUAACUACUGGAAACGGUAGCUAAUACCGCAUAACGUCGCAAGACCAAAAGUGGGGGACCUUCGGGCCGUCAUGCCAUCAGAUGUGCCCAGAUGGGAUUAGCUAGUAGGU